UACAGAGGGGGCAAGCGUUAUUCGGAAUUAUUGGGCGUAAAGGGCGCGUAGGCGGCUUGGCAAGCGGAAGGUGAAAUCCCUCGGCUUAACCGAGGAACUGCCUUCCAGACUGCUUUGCUUGAGGCCGGGAGAGGCGAGUGGAAUUCCCAGUGUAGCGGUGAAAUGCGUAGAUAUUGGGAGGAACACCAGUGGCGAAGGCGGCUCGCUGGACCGGUUCUGGCGCUGAGGCGCGAAAGCGUGGGGAGCAAACGGG
RNAcentral lists this ribosomal RNA (253 nucleotides) under uncultured bacterium. Its description in RNAcentral is "partial 16S ribosomal RNA". It matches the Rfam family "Bacterial small subunit ribosomal RNA", at positions 524 to 776 of the family's 1533-position model. The record is from RNAcentral.